Molecule: ribosomal RNA, 346 nt
Filed under: uncultured bacterium
Lineage: Bacteria
Description: bacterial SSU rRNA
Rfam family: Bacterial small subunit ribosomal RNA
Source: RNAcentral
AUGUGGGUAUCUACCCUUUGGCCUGGAAUAACACGAGGAAACUUGUGCUAAUACCGGAUAAGUCUUUACGGAGAAAGCUUUAUGCACCAUUGGAUGAGCCCGCACUUGAUUAGUUUGUUGGUAGGGUAAUGGCCUACCAAGACUAUGAUCAAUAGCUGAUUUGAGAGGAUGAUCAGCCACAUUGGGACUGAGACACGGCCCAAACUCCUACGGGAGGCAGCAGUGGGGAAUCUUGCACAAUGGAGGAAACUCUGAUGCAACGAUGCCGCGUGAGUGAAGAAGGCCUUUGGGUUGUAAAGCUCUUUCGUCGGGGAAGAAAAUGACUGUACCCGAAUAAGAAGGUCCG